AUACGUAGGUGACAAGCGUUAACCGGAUUUACUGGGUGUAAAGGGCGUGUAGGCGGUUUAGCAAGUCAGAAGUGAAAUUCCCGGGCUUAACUUGGGCGCUGCUUCUGAAACUGCUUUACUUGAGUGCUGGAGAGGAUAGUGGAAUUCCUAGUGUAGCGGUAAAAUGCGCAGAUAUUAGGAGGAACACCGGUGGCGAAGGCGGCUAUCUGGACAGUAACUGACGCUGAGGCGCGAAAGCACGGGGAGCAAACAGGAUUAGAUACCCUGGUAGUCCGUGCCGUAAACGAUGAAUACUAGGUGUAGGGGGUAUCGACUCCCUCUGUGCCGCAGUUAACACAUUAAGUAUUCCACCUGGGGAGUACGGCCGCAAGGUUGAAACUCAAAGGAAUUGACGGGG
This 397-nucleotide ribosomal RNA is filed under the name uncultured bacterium. Its description in RNAcentral is "partial 16S ribosomal RNA". It matches the Rfam family "Bacterial small subunit ribosomal RNA", at positions 523 to 918 of the family's 1533-position model. The record is from RNAcentral.